ACGGGAGGCAGCAGUGAGGAAUAUUGGUCAAUGGGCGGAAGCCUGAACCAGCCAUGUCGCGUGCAGGACUACGGCCCUACGGGUCUUAAACUUCUUUUUGCAGGGGGGUAAAGUGGGCCACGCGUGGUCUAUUGCAAGUACCCUGCGAAUAAGCAUCGGCUAACUCCGUGCCAGCAGCCGCGGUAAUACGGAGGAUGCGAGCGUUAUCCGGAUUUAUUGGGUUUAAAGGGUGCGUAGGCGGGCGAUUAAGUCAGCGGUGAAAGUUUGCGGCUCAACCGUAAAAUUGCCGUUGAAACUGGUUGCCUUGAGUGCGGCAGAGGCAGGCGGAAUGUGUGGUGUAGCGGUGAAAUGCAUAGAUAUCACACAGAACACCGAUUGCGAAGGCAGCUUGCUGGAGCGCAACUGACGCUGAGGCACGAAAGCGCGGGUAUCGAACAGGAUUAGAUACCCUGGUA
RNAcentral lists this ribosomal RNA (455 nucleotides) under uncultured Parabacteroides sp. Its description in RNAcentral is "partial 16S ribosomal RNA". It matches the Rfam family "Bacterial small subunit ribosomal RNA", at positions 341 to 792 of the family's 1533-position model. Lineage: Bacteria; Pseudomonadati; Bacteroidota; Bacteroidia; Bacteroidales; Tannerellaceae. The record is from RNAcentral.